This 79-nucleotide transfer RNA is filed under the name Cryptomonas paramaecium. RNAcentral's name for it is "Cryptomonas paramecium tRNA". Lineage: Eukaryota; Cryptophyceae; Cryptomonadales; Cryptomonadaceae. The record is from RNAcentral.
UCAAAUCACUGAAAAAAAUACGUUUUUUUCAUCUUAGGAAAUUAAAAAUCUUAAAAAUAUUAUGCCAAUUGCAAAUUAA